RNAcentral lists this long non-coding RNA (346 nucleotides) under Parus major (Great Tit). RNAcentral describes it as "lncRNA (ENSPMJG00000004437.1)". The record is from RNAcentral. Lineage: Eukaryota; Metazoa; Chordata; Aves; Passeriformes; Paridae.
AAAUGGAGAUAGGUUUGGGAAGGUUCUGGAAGGUUGGGAAGGUUCGGGAAGGUUGGGAAGGUUCGGGAAGGUUGGGAAGGUUUGGGAAGGUUCUGGAAGGUUCCAGAAGGUUUGGGAAGGUUGGGAAGGUUCCAGAAGGUUCCAGAAAGUUCAGGAAGGUUUGGGAAGGUUCAGGAAGGUUCAGGAAGGUUUGGAAGGUUCAGGAAGGUUGGCAAGGUUGAGAAGGUUCAGGAAGGUUCCAGAAGGUUCGGGAACAUUCAGGAAGGUUCCGGAAGGUUCAGGAAGGUUCCGGAACGUUCGGGAAGGCUCGGGAAGGUUCAGGAAGGUUCUGGAAGGUUCAGGAAGG